This is a long non-coding RNA of Syngnathoides biaculeatus (alligator pipefish), 1030 nucleotides long. RefSeq lists it as uncharacterized. The transcript is spliced from 3 exons. NCBI's taxonomy places the organism in Eukaryota, Metazoa, Chordata, Actinopteri, Syngnathiformes, Syngnathidae. The record is from RefSeq and is a predicted model, not a curated record.
UUUAAAUGUCACUCACCAACAUGAGAAAUAUCAACUCCAACAGAGUAUCAAGACCACAGGCCAGUCAUUUUAAAAAAUGAAAAGUGUGCUUUCUCACACAGACACACUACCAGUUUAACCAAGUCCCCAAACAAAAAUAUGAAUAGAAAUAGUAUUUUUCUUUUACUCUGACUUUAAUUAGUGGGACUUUUUUUUACAUUCCUUGCCUUGAGCAAUCUUCUUCAAAUCUAGCUUAUAUUCUCCAGUGUUGCCACUUGAACCAGUUCUUUCAAAUGCGUUUCAAUAAUAACAGAUCGAUUAUUUUUCAAAGUGACCAACUUGAGACUGCGAAGUUCAGUCCCUUUCAGAAAUUCCAGGUCGACGUUAGCGUGGAGUGAGCUGAAGCGUCGCUAAAGAUUUUAAGCUUUGAAAUGCGAUAAAGACGUCUGGCACCAAAGGCAGACUGCCCAGCCAUCGGGCUCAACAAACAAAAUAUCUCUCCUGUCAUGAUCCUGCCGCUCCAGCACGAGCUGUGCGGGUGCCCGUGCAGGUACGCUGAUUGGGAGGUGCACACCUGCGCCUCAUGCAGCCUGAUUAUGCUGUGGAUUUAUAUGACCGCGAUGACAACUGGCCGGAUCUUCAUGUCCCGUUCGUGUGCUCCGGUAUCCCUGAUCGAACCUGUGUGUACCGACCUUCGCCUGUUCUCCGACCAACCUUGUCCCAACUACCGCUGCUGCACCGGACUGCCUGCUCGAUCCCCUACCUCUGCAUAUAAUAAACGUUUCUCCUUGAACUACCUGGCAUCUUCCGAGUCCUGCAUUUGGGUCCUACUCUCGUUACGAUGGGACGUGACAUCUCCCACUUUGGAGCCGCAUGGAAAUGGGCAAAGAGCUGCAUGCAACUCGAGGCGCGGGUCUCCCAUCCCUGUAAUAAAGUGUUAAUGUAAUGCUAAAUCAGUUACAAGAUCUUUGUACAUGUACAUUACAUUAAAAAUCAAAACGGGGAUACUCUUACCUGUGAACCAGAAAUGUUACUAAUUCUGCGUUGGGUC